Molecule: transfer RNA, 69 nt
Filed under: Marmota marmota marmota (Alpine marmot)
Lineage: Eukaryota; Metazoa; Chordata; Mammalia; Rodentia; Sciuridae
Also listed under: 3 other names
Rfam family: tRNA
About the family: Transfer RNA (tRNA) molecules are approximately 80 nucleotides in length. Their secondary structure includes four short double-helical elements and three loops (D, anti-codon, and T loops). Further hydrogen bonds mediate the characteristic L-shaped molecular structure. tRNAs have two regions of fundamental functional importance: the anti-codon, which is responsible for specific mRNA codon recognition, and the 3' end, to which the tRNAs corresponding amino acid is attached (by aminoacyl-tRNA synthetases). tRNAs cope with the degeneracy of the genetic code in two manners: having more than one tRNA (with a specific anti-codon) for a particular amino acid; and 'wobble' base-pairing, i.e. permitting non-standard base-pairing at the 3rd anti-codon position.
Source: Rfam by way of RNAcentral
GGGGUUGUGGCUCAGUGGUACAGCACUUGCCUAACAUGUUUGAGGCACUGAGUUCAAUUCUCAGCACCA